CCCUUUUUCUCUCAAAAUUUUGUGCUCUCUCUCUCUCUCUCUCUAAGGAAAGGAAAAGCCUCCAUUUUGAAGAAACAAGUCACAAAAGAGAUAAAGUUCAUGAAAUUUUCUUUUCGUCUCUCUUGUGCCGAACCAAGGGCUCUCUUUUUCCCUAUUUGUUUAUGAGUUUCCACUCUUAAAAAUACUAUUUGAUUUUUGAUAUAGAACCUAGGAGUGUUGCAUGAAAGAUCCAAGAGCUUCUAUGUCAUAUUUGGAGCUUUGAACAUUAACAAGAGGUAUUGGGGAGAGGUUAGAAGUUGGGAAAUAUUUGGGAAGCUUAGAGCCCAACCCUAGAAGCCAAACUCAAAGCUUGAAUACAAAGGAACUAAAAUGCAUUUGGGCAUAAAUAAAAAGAAAGAAUUAAAUAUGAAAAAGAAAUGGGAAAAAUGGCAUUUUUGAAGUCCAAAGCCCAAGAGAAAUUUCCCAAGCCCGAAUUCGGCCCGACAUCUCCCUCCUUUCUCUCUCUUGCCGUCCCUGCCACCUGGUGCGACUGUAGUGCGCCACGCGUCUCACCUACCUACCCUAGCCGCUUGCCAUGUGUCCCCCCAGCCCAGACCAACCCACCUGCGACUCGCGUGCCCGACCCAGUCUGCUCGCCUAACCCGCCUGCAUGGCACCUUCUCCCUCAACUCCCACGUGCCAAAUGGCACUUUGCAAUUGGUUACACACUUGCCAGACGUCCCUGCCACAUGCUAGCCUGACGAACCAGCUACUGCAGCUACUUUUGUGUGCACUUCGGUCUUCAUGCGAGCCAUUUUCAACACUCCAAGUCGUGUGAGCCACAUGCAUGCAUUAGUCUACAACAUAAUAGUAAUGAUAACAAUAAAAAUAAUAUUAAUAAUAAUAAUAAUAAUUUUUAUUUCUAAGUCAAUUUUUAUUAAUAUUUUAGUAUUCUUUUGUAAACCCUAAUUUUAGUUUAAAUUGUGUAACGACCCAAAUUUACUAAUAAGGCUUAAGGGCCUUGAUAAGUGUGCUGGGAGGGCAUAAUUAGAAUAUAUGUGAUUUAAUGAUUAAAAGUAUGCUAUAUGACUAUUUGAAUAUCUGAGAUGCAUGACUAUGUGUAUUAGUAUGCAUGUAGGCCCUGAUUAGGUUAGAAAUGACAUAAUUGUAAUUUUGGCACG
This is a long non-coding RNA of Humulus lupulus (European hop), 1160 nucleotides long. RefSeq lists it as uncharacterized. The transcript is spliced from 3 exons. The record is from RefSeq and is a predicted model, not a curated record. Lineage: Eukaryota; Viridiplantae; Streptophyta; Magnoliopsida; Rosales; Cannabaceae.